AUCUAAAUCUAUAUAUAAUAGCAAACCCACAAUCAGUGUAUGGUGACAUCGGCAUUUUUUUAUAGGAAAAAAAAGUUAGUAUCUAAUGGUGGAGUUUAUCGUAAAAGUACAUCCAAUGUACUUAAUUUUGUUUUAGAUGAAGGGAAUGACGUCACCGUGUCAUUUUAGCAAACGACGUCUUCUUCCUAUCUCUUCAGAGGCGUCCCCUAAAUUGCAAGAAUUAUUUUUCACUUAACAGUUGUAUCUUUUCACUCUCAGAGUUUCACUGGAACGUCAUCAUCUUCCUUCAUGAGUUAUUUGUUUAUAUAUAUAAAGUUUUUCAAACUUUUUUUUGGCCAACUUGUUUCAAGUUUUCGGUGAUUCUCUCCUUGUGCUUUUAUCUCUCUUCGUCUCCUUUUACAUUCAAACCCGUUAGUUUGAUUUUGCCGCAGCAGAUCUUUGUUCCUAUAGCCCUCUCUCUUUCAGCGAUAAUUUCAGAUUCAGAUUAAGGAUGAAGUGUGUCUUCUGGUAUUUUGAAAAAUUUCUGAUACGUGAAGAGGUAUGUCUUCAAGAGAGAACCAGAGGACAUAUAAUCAAAAAUUACUGAUCAAACAAAGAAUCAGAGGAGCUAUGUCUUCAAGAGACAUUUUUUUUGGUAUUUUAUGAUUGAUCGUGUGGAAAUACAAACAAUCAGAAUAUAUAUCAGCCGCAUCUCCGUGCGCUACACUCCUCUGCACUUUUGCUGCUUCGAUGUCCACACGAUCAGUAUUUUUGCUUAGAUGUCCUCUGGUUCAUCGUUUCUUUAUCAUUUCCCUUCAUCAUUGUUCUCACUCACAUCCAAUUUAUUGUCCUACAGCUUUUUGCGUUACUUACUGUGGCUUUUUUCUGUUAUGAAACAAGUGACUCCCUCUCCAAUUUUUUUCCUUGUCUGUUUUCACCACCACCAAUUGUCAAACUCUCUGAACUUUUCCCCUGUCUUCACCACACCACAGUCUUGAUUUUUCUCUUCUCUUCUUUUAUACUGUCUCCCCAACCCACUAAUAUCUUAAUUUGCAAAUGUAGAGCUAUUUAAUGAGAAAACUUUUUUUUCUCAAGAACUUAUUGAUCUUCUUUGGUACCGUUUCUCCAAAUCAAAAAGGUACUUUUCUAGACUGAAUCAUCGUUGAAACACAAACAAAAGUAAGACUUACAACUCCUAAAAUUGUUUCAUUUAACAAGGGAUUCAAAGAGGAGAGUUAUGAUUUUCUGUCCAUAUGAAGCUGAACGUAAAGUCGUUGUCCAUUUUAAUUCCAUGAAUAAGUUUAAUCAAAAGGGUAUUUUACCAAGUUUAUUUUGGUCGUCCACGUUAUAUAGAAGAGAUGUGAUUUAACUGAUUGCCUAGAGUGUAGAUAUGUUUAGUCUAACGAGAGUAUAAGAUGUUUUCUUCUCACCGAACAAUUAGGUUUCAACUCGCGCUUUGGGACCAGAUUGGUAAGGGCCUCUUUCCUUUCGUUUCGUAUCAUCUGUACAUGCGAAAAAUUGGUCUUAGUGAUAAUAAUAAGGUAGAAGAAUUUACUUCUGGUGUAUCGAGGGCCUCUUAAAUUUUCGUUAAUGUUUGUUUAAGUCAACCAUUGCAUUCUUUAUUAACUAAUGUAACAGUUGAUGAUAAACUUUUCACCAUUUGAUAAUAAACCAACCACUGCAGCAUGAUUAAACAUUUGCGCUCUUGUGUUAUUUGUAAUUUCAAACCGUUUUGUAAUUAUUGCUGAACCACACUAAGUGUAAAAAGAUUUUCCAGUUUUAUUGUUUAUUAUCUCUCAGCUCGAAGGUAUUGGAAAAUAA
Raphanus sativus (radish) is the source of this 1800-nucleotide long non-coding RNA. RefSeq lists it as uncharacterized. The transcript has 2 exons. NCBI's taxonomy places the organism in Eukaryota, Viridiplantae, Streptophyta, Magnoliopsida, Brassicales, Brassicaceae. The record is from RefSeq and is a predicted model, not a curated record.